RNAcentral lists this ribosomal RNA (433 nucleotides) under uncultured bacterium. RNAcentral describes it as "partial 16S ribosomal RNA". It matches the Rfam family "Bacterial small subunit ribosomal RNA", at positions 29 to 507 of the family's 1533-position model. The record is from RNAcentral.
AACGAACGCUGGCGGCAUGCCUAACACAUGCAAGUCGAACGAGACCUUCGGGUCUAGUGGCGCACGGGUGCGUAACGCGUGGGAACCUGCCCUUAGGUUCGGAAUAACUCCCCGAAAGGGGUGCUAAUACCGGAUAAUGUCUUCGGACCAAAGAUUUAUCGCCUUUGGAUGGGCCCGCGUUAGAUUAGCUGGUUGGUAGGGUAAAAGCCUACCAAGGCGACGAUCCAUAGCUGGUCUGAGAGGAUGAUCAGCCACACUGGGACUGAGACACGGCCCAGACUCCUACGGGAGGCAGGAGUGGGGAAUAUUGGACAAUGGGCGAAAGCGUGAUACAGCAAUGCCGCGUGAGUGAUGAAGGCCGUAGGGUUGUAAAGCUCUUUUACCCGGGAUGAUAAUGACAGUACCGGGAGAAUAAGCUCCGGCUAACUACGUG